CAGUCUGAGUCUCAACAGCCCAUAAUGCGUCCAGGGUGCGUAGCUGGCAGCAAAUGACACUUCCGCGUCCGCUUGUGUAUGCUACCACCUCGGCAACGGCCAGAGAGGAAUCAGCUGCGGCGAAGAAGAGACAUGCUGGACCAACUGUAAACCUUACGGAUGUUCUCUCUGGAGGGAACCGUGCAAGAACCUCAAGCCACCAUCCACUGCGAUACCAGCCUGUGAACACUGGAUACUGAGGAGCGGCUGUGAACUGCCGCUGCCUGCUGCGGUAAACCCGGGGAGAACUGUGGCUGCGCCCUGGCUGCGAUUCGUGGCCUCAUGUGGCCCACUGUCAGGGAAGCCACCACGGACCUCGUGUGCCUCGUCGCCGCCGAAAGGGGCUAAACGACUUGAAAUGUAACGGGGAAGCGUUGUCAACGUUUCAGCUGAGGCAUCCCAUCUUCUCGCAGUUGUUGCACGCUUUUCGGUGCAUCUCAGCAGUCAUAAUCACGAAGUGUCUACUUAUCUACGAAUAUAGCAAACAAAACUGGUGAGGAGUGGUAGCUGCAGAGCAGAUGCAACGCUACGCUCUCCGCGGACUCUGGCUUCCUGGAGCUGAUGAACGUCCUGGACCAUCCCACCUGUCCACUGGAAGACCUGCCGCCAGAAACCAUGGAGCCGCCUAAGCAGAGCCGAGUGCAGCUGCGAAACGACGUGCCGCCGAGGUCUCCCAACAUCCCUGUGGCCAGUGACCUGGCGUGCACACCUCUGCCUCUUUUCCUGGAUCGCUGUCAGCUCGUUCAGCAUUUUUCAGGACGUCCGAUUUACUACGACACACAGUGUGCAUGAUGCUCGCUGCUAUUUAGACAAUCUUGCCAAGCAGUCGUGUCCGGAAUUGAAGGCUGCAGAUGUCAUCUGUUCUGUUUCCAGAGCUAUCCUGUUUCUGAAGUGUCGCAAUUUGUUCUCUUGUAAAGUCUCCUGGAGGGUCACCUUUUCCAGAAAAAGAAGUAACUUACCGUCCGAAUCUGAUUCGAAAGAGGACAAGCCAACAGAGAAAACACUGAGCUACAGCGCCAUGUUAGGCAGUGCCAUUUCGAAAUCCAAGCAUUUUAAAAUGCACAGAUUAAAACUUUUCGAAAUCUCAUUUAAAGCGUUUUGACUGCCGGAGUAUUCGCGUACUUUUCCUCAGUUAUGUAAUUUGUCUGGAAAGAUACUCUUGUGCUUCCAAAUCAUGCAUAUAACCCAGAUUCUAUGUUCUGAGGUCAUGCGACAUAUGGCAGGAGUUCCUGACUUACCUACAACGGAUCUGAUUGAGAGUGCCUUCACACGUCUCAGCUCUAUCUGGCUAAACAAAUUCUACUACCAAAUGUACGCCUGCUUUCGUCAUCUCACGCUUCCUAACCUGCCGAAGCAAGCAAAGUAUUCCGUGGUCAGAUCCUGUAUCCACUAAUACUCUGGAUAUAUGACGCACAACAAGUAUUGAUUCUGAAAAUACGAGCAAAUAUUGUCUUCCCCAGUCAGAUGAAAUUCCUCGUGGGAAUUUCACUGUCUACAGCUAUGAAUUUCGUUUUACUUCGACUGGUGGGAUGCGUAUACCUAUUUACCCCGAAGUCCACGUGGGUCGAAAUUUCUAGUAGCAGUAAAUUUGGCCCAAAUAAAUAACUUCUUUACCUUCCAUUUAAGGCCGUCGUCUUAAGUUGGAUAGGUACUAUAAUUAAGAUUUAGUUGCACAAGGCGUAGCCCAGUUUUUGUGUUACGUUCAUGUAACUACAGUGAUACAGGAGCCAGAGCCGCUCGUUUUUUUUUUUUUUUUUUUUUUUUCAUUUGACACGAAACGGCGCUCCCUAUAACAAGGAACACGGUACUGUCGUGGUGGAACCCAGACAUCAUCCUUCCAGGGCUAGAGCUCUGUAAAGUAGCUGGUGUACAAUUUCUGGCUGUGAAAUCCCUUUGUAAUCUCUGUGAAUAUAUUUUCAAAGGACUGCUUUAAUUACAGACUAUAAUAAAGCCUGUCCUCGGUUGUAAAGAUAGAAGCUAGCUGAUGAGACAAAAUUAACUGCAACCAAACCGUAAAACCAGUGCCUCAGUUUUCUAAUUUACUCUUCAUUCUCAAUUUUCUGUUUAUUUGUACGUGGUAGCGUCUACGUAUUUUAAUGCACCGAUGUUAAGUAAUUACUUACUCUCAUGGCCCCGGAAUCCACAGUCGAUUUUUGACCGCGUCAAGUAACCUUCUUCACAGCGUCCAUCCUCCGCAUCUUCUUCUCUUGCUCUACGUGGCUGGAGAUCCUUUGGCCACAGGGUAUCUACAUCUUGUCUGCGUUCUGCCUAAAGAUUUUCGUCCUGGUUUCUUCUCUGCUGCUUCUAUCAAUUUUGAUUCCAUCCCUCCCACCCCUCUGCCCCCCCCCCCCCCCCCCCACAUGUCUACUAUAGAGAUGGCCAACCGGUAUCAGUCUCCUCACCUAGGCAUCCGCAACACUAUGUGGUUCAUUUUAUAUCUCCAUGAAUUACCUGUUAUGUCCUCUUUGUCAUGCUCCUGCCUAAAAAAUUCGUCGGGACAUUUUAUUUUCAAAAACCUUUGUCAUUCUCUCUGUUAUAAUUACCUAUUCAACAUAUUUCUGUGUUAUAUAGUAACAGUGGUCUAACUAUUGUUUUAUAUAUCCUCAUUUUGCUUUCCCUUAAAAAGUUUUGGCUGAUAAUAAUUUGUUGAGUAUAUUUGACCCUCUGGAUGUUGCUUCGAUCCUCACUUCUGUUUCUUGUUGUCGUAAUUUCUCUUGUUAACUACCACCCACAGAUGUUUAGACUCAUCUACUUCUUCGAGGAUGUUGUCAUCGAUCUGCAUGGUUCCUCACCUUACUGCCUUGUAAUUUCUUUCUCUCCUUACGAAUUUUUGUUCUCUCGUCGUUCACCUCCUAUCCAAUUUCUCUUGAUUGUUUGUAAAUGACAUUCUUUCCAAUAUUUUCAGGUCAUCUAGAUUUUCGCUGAUUAACGCUACAUCAUUUGCAAAGGCAAGUAAUUCAUUUUUAUUCCUAUGCAAAUUCCCUCUCCUUCUUUGCUUACUGCAUGCAGUGCUUCCUGUAUUAUUACUAUGCUAAAGAAGAGAGGUGAUGUUCCUUCUCUGUGCCUGACUUAUGUUUUAACGUCAAAAGCUGUGGAACACUCUCCUUCCAUUUUCUCUAUCUCUUUCGAGUCCUUUGGGAAGAAUACUCACAAAGAUUGCAACGAGGAUCCUGCAACCAGAUUUCUCUCAGCUGCUCGACAGAGCAGACCUGGAUGGAUGGAUGGUGUCUGGGUCCCACCAAGCCAGUGUCCCUACUCCUGGGAGUAGGGAGUGCCGUUUCGUUAGAAAUGGAAAAUACGGACAACACUUCACCCCGGUGCCAUCGUAGCUGUAUGUACAUAGUACAAAAACUGCGCUAUCCCUUGUGCAACCCAAUUCUAAUUAUAAUACCUAUCCCACUUAAGAUACUGGCUUAACUGGUAGGUGAUCAAGUUGUUUGUUUGAGUCAAAUUCAUUGCUACUAGAAAUUUCGAGUUGCGUGGAGUUCUGAGUACGUAGGUAUACGUAUCCCAGCAGUCCAAGUAAAACCAAAUUGAAAGCUAUAGACAGCGAAAUCCCCGCAAGGAAUAUUAUCCAACUGUGGAAAAGAUAACCGUGGUUUAGUAACGAAAUUCGGAAAAUGCUGAGGAAGCUUAGAUUGAUGCACUCACGGUUCAAAAAAAGAGCGCGGGAAUGUUGACGGGCAAAGUUGAGCAGGAAUUCAAGUCACCAGGUCCGGAAGGAUUGCUAAUUCGAUUUUACAGAGUACUCUUAGACAUAGAUCCUUUACUUAACCUUCAUUUAUAGCGAGUGUCUCGUUAAGCGCGAAGGCCCAAGUGACCGAAAAAACAAAAAAAGGCAGGUGACUCCUAUAUAUCAAAAGCAUAAAAGAAUGGACCCGUAAAAUUACAAAGCAAUAUCCUUAACAUAGGUUCCCUGUAAGAUUCAUGAACAUAUUCUAAGUUCGAAUAUAAUAAAUUCUAUGGAGUCAGAGACGCUACUGCCCACGAGUCACCACGGAUUUGGAAAGCAUCGACCGUGCGAAGCUCGGUUUGCCCUUUUCUCUCACGAUAUCUUGCGAACAAUAGACAAAGGGCAACAGACAGAUUCUAUAUAUUCCUAGAUUUCCGGAAAGCGUUUCAUUAGUGCCCCACUCCAGAUCGUUAACAAAGGUCCGAACAUGCGGCAGUGGUUUCCAAAGUGACUCGAAGACGUCUUAAGUAACAGAACCCAAAAAGUUGUUCUUGACUGCGAGAGUUCAUCAGACGGGAAGUUAUCGCCAGGAGUGUCCCGGGGAAGUGUGACAGAAAUGCUCUUUUCCUCUGUAUACAUAAAAGAGUAGACAGAUAGGGUCUACGAGUGUUCGCUGAAAACGCUGCAUCGUGUGCGAAAGUAUUGAUGGUAGGUGAUUGUAUGAGGAUGCAGGAUAACUUCGACGGUACAUCUAUUUUGUCUGAUGAAUGGCAGCUUACUAUAAAUGUAGAAAAAUGUGAGUUAGUGCAGACGAGUAGUGGCGUGAUACUUGGCACAGUCAUGUAGAGCUAAUAUCCAGGCUUCACCUCGCCGAGAAAUGUAAAGCGGAGUUAGCAUGCAGAGUCGGUAGUAGGGAAGGCGAAUGAUCAACUUUGGAUUAUUGGGAGGAUUCUAGGAAAAUUAAGCUCGUUUGUAAUGGACACCACACAUGAAUCACUAGUACGAACUUUUCUCGAGUACUGGUAGAAUAUUUCUAUUCCUUACAAGCUCGGAUAAAACUAAGAUGUCGAAACAAUUCAGGCAUACUGUUUUGUUUUUUACCUAUAGAUUCGAUCAGCAUGCUACUAUAACGGAGAUGCUUCGUGCAGUCAAAAGUAAAUCCUUGGAGAGAAGACGGCACGUUCUUUCCGCGAGAAACCAUUCUGAAACUUUAGGCAGUUGUCACAUGCAGCUGACUACAGGGCAAUUAUACUGCCACCAACAUACAUUCUGCAUAAGGAUACGAGUACGAAAUGAGAGAAAUUAGAGAUCGCACGGAGGCGCAUAGACACUCGAUUUUCCCUCGCUGUGUUUGUGAGGAAACAAAGUACUCUCCUCCAUGCUCCAUCUGGUGGCUUACACGGUACAUAUGUAGGCAUAAAUUUUAAAAGUCAGGAAGACAGAUGUCAGAGGUACAUUAAAUGAAUACUACGUAAGUCUAUUUCACGUACAGCGGUUCUCGACUUCGUAUAACUGAGGGAAUAAGUAGAUUUUAUUGAUGACCCUGCUCGAAAUCCGACAGAAAGCUUCGUUUCCAGUAUUUUAUGGUAUUCUUUCAGUGUUGCGUUGUACGAUUUCUGGAGCCAUUGCCACACCGCUGUACUGAACAAAGUACACUGCAGUGAUGUGUGCGUCGGCGCACGAACGUCCACAGAUAGGGCAAAUAUUGACACAUAUAAUUAGACCAUUUGCCAUGGUCUAUCAAGUAAAGUAACCCUUCUUGAUUGAGAGACACAUGCUGUUUUUUGAGGCAGGGUCAAUGAAGGCCGCUUUUUGGAAGUAAAUAAAGGCGAGAGGAAGCGUUUGACACCAUCCAUCAAUCAACUGAACAAUCUUGUGUGAUUUGUAGUCUUCGUUUGUAUUCUAAACUACUACUUUUUUCAUAUCUGUUCUCUUUAUAUGCCGUCGUAGGCUUUCCUCGAAUCAACACACGGUACUUCCAUUGCUUUGUUGUAUUCCGCAUAUUUUGGUAUGGCUUCUUUUAGUAGAAGCUCUAAUCUGUGGUAGAUGAAAAUAAGGGAGACUUAUUUUCAUCUAUUACCUCCCUUAAAUAUGGUUCCAGUUUUUUCUGGAGAAUCUUUUAGCACACUCUUUAGGCUGUGCUAAUUAAGGGAAUGUCUCUAUAAUUCUGCGUUCUUGUUUAUCGCUAUUUUUAUCGACUUGCAUUAUGAUCGUCUCUUUCUUAGUUCCAGUCGUUGGUCACUUGUGUAUUUGUUCCGAAAAUACGUGUACUUCUUUUUUUUAAAUUCAACUAUUAUUCCAUUUCUCCCUAGAGCUUUGCUGUUCUUCAUUAUUUGAUUGUGUUUACUGUGUCUUUCCUUGUUCACGGUGCAAGUAAGGAAUCUACGUAUGAUACUGGUAUGGGUCCUCCAUUUCUGUACUUCAAAUCUUCCACAUUCAAAAGUUCCUUACAAUUUUCCUUCCUAAUUUCCAAACCUUUUGUUCUUUCGUAAACUGAUUUGCCAUUACUUUAAGAUUAAGUAAUUACUUACUAAAAUUGAAUACGCAUGAAAAUAAGAGGGAAAUUCUUGCUACAAUUCUCCUAAUUGGUUAUAUGAUAGGACAUUAACAUGAAAUCCAAAAUUUAAAUAAGAACGUUUUAUGGUAACUAGCAUAUUGAAAUACAAAAAUAAUGUAAGAACUUCCUGUUCACGGUAAAUUAUUUUCACCAAGUUCCUAAAUAGUGAAGGCAGAAGAAUGUAAUCUUACAAUGCAGUUAUAGGAAUCCUUCACCUUCCGCCCGAUUCAUAAAAAGCUUUUAACGCAUGACUACAUUUAUCUUAUGUUUAAAACUUGCAACUGGUUCCUAUUUCUAACUAAGCUCUGUUUUUGUGCGUGCAUAUGCAGGUUCAACAAAUGAUUUUGCACUGAAAUUCAAUCCUAACGUAAAUAACAAUCGUAUGAAGAUUAUUGCAAGUUAGCUCGAUGGGACACCAGGUUACAUGAAUGUUUAACGGAACUGGGAAACGCCAUUUUCAAAAUGCAACUGUACAGCAGAACUUUCCCAUUAGAAUAUGUAAUCGCCUAGGUAAAUGAUGCCACGAAAAAAUCCUUGAAAACUAUUUUCAUACGAAGUUCUGAAAGAUGGCUCGAAGUAACUCAAUUGAAUAAAUGAGAAAAGUGGAUGAGUAUGAACUUGUCACAUGAAGGAAGAACAAAUACCUCUCAUAGAAAAUGCCCCCAGCGACGACUUCCAACUGCGUGAGAAACUAACUUUAUCAGCUGAAAAAUAAUUAUCUGAAAACAAAUUGCUUUUCCUAAUCGAUCCCCUGAGCGCAAUGGUUCGCUCUGUUGUGCCGACUUGCACACAAUUUUCAGGAUACCGAGGGUGAGCCUCGUUUUAAACACACAGAAAAUGGACGCCAUCUUUGCUCAUGGUAGGCACGUUACGUGAAUUUCUAGUUGGUGGUUACUAUAACGAAAAAAUUCCAGCCAAGGCUAAUUUUAGUCGUGCAACCAUCGUACAUUUAUUUUCUGAAAAUGAGUUACAAACGGCCUCCAAGAAAUGAAGCUAACCAUCGAACUGUGAUAACGGCUGGACUUCUGCACAACGUAACAACACGGAAAAUGAGAGUCUAAAUCCUUUUAAUCUACCCAUGAAACAAGCAAGUGGGCUGUGUUUUUAAGCCGUCUCACUUUUAUUACAUCAAAGCCCCCCACAAUUUCAGACUGACCACGGAAUCCUUGCAUAUACAGAACUGAGGUAUUAUGCGUAUUGAGGCGAGCAGAUAACUCACUACAAAAAACUCGCUGUAGUUUUGUUUAAACAGCGUAAAGAAAAACUAAAAUCUCAUUCGAACCGGAAACGGUCGUAAGAAUCACCAACCGCCCUCAGCGUACCAUAAUUUAGCCUGAAGACCGCAACUAGAGCAAGCGAAACGAACAAACUUCCAGACCUGACUGUUUAAAAUAUUUUUUUCAUUUCAGACCCGUAAACAACGCAGAACAGAAAGCAGAGAACACAGUGUCAUGCAUCCGGUUCAAGGGGUGGUAUAUUCUACCUCAGUAACGGCCGUGCGUUGCUGAUUGGCUGAUUCGAAAAUCUGCCGAAAUUAAGCCUGCAGAGAUACUACGACUUACUUAAGCUAGAGAUAACUGAACGUUCGCGGAGGAAUCGAUACUAGCCCUGUGGUCAACAUCUCGUAUCGACAAGUGACUGAACUUAGAACGUACAUUACACAUAUAAUGAGAGGUGAGCGUUCUCACAAUGUAGUCCUUUCAAAAUGCAUAAUAGUUACGUAUGACAUUAAAUCCACACCUGUGCCUCGUCUUGAGCCUCGCUCCAAAUGGAACAGUCCGAGAUUCGAUUUUUCGACUGAUCCAAGGAACUACUUUUUCCCGGCAGUUACGUUACUUUCACUGCUGGCAAUGCUUCAUUUCACAACUGGAAAUGCAUCAUGUAUCUGAAAAUUAUCACAUUGUAUCAAAUUAAACUUCAGAUCAAGAAAACAUUUUUCAGUGCGUAUUCAUUUAUAUACUUUACUAAUCAUUUAUAUACUUUACCAAUUAACUUUAUUUAUGUUAUCUGAAUUAAACAAAUUUCAUAAAUGUGUGUAAAAGUUGUACAUAUAAAUGAUUUGUUACUUAAGUACUAUGUCAACAGAGAUUGACGCCAAUUUAAGAUUAGAGGAUAAGGGAGAUGGAGACAGUUGAAAAGCCCUAGUGUGUGGACGAAUAUGUAUUGGGGUCUUUUGGGCUGAUGAAUGUUUCGAUUCGAGAGAAUGGAACAAAAAGUUAUGGUAAACAAUAUUAAUAAUAAUUAGUUAUGUCAAAUAUGGUUUGAACGGAAAGGAACGUGUUAAAGAAUAGUGUUACGCGAUAUUGGAGUAAUGGCGUUUGUGAGAGAGGACGUGAUUAGAUGAGCGAGAGAUACGUAAAGGUACUAUAGAAGACGUUAGAAAUUAACCUGUAUCCCGAGUGCAGCUCCCAAACGGGUAAGAAGUUCUUCAAACGACAUUUUUAUGAACAGUAUUGUGAAAUGAAAAACGUGCGCCAUACGAUUAUUAGGCACAUGUAUUUUCUAUAAGUUGAACUAUAGUGACAUAGCACAUAGAAUUUUGUGUGAUUUUUAAUCAAUAAACGAUCGCCCAAAACUCAA
Schistocerca serialis cubense is the source of this 8849-nucleotide long non-coding RNA. RefSeq lists it as uncharacterized. The transcript has 4 exons. Lineage: Eukaryota; Metazoa; Arthropoda; Insecta; Orthoptera; Acrididae. The record is from RefSeq and is a predicted model, not a curated record.